This is a long non-coding RNA of Myotis davidii, 387 nucleotides long. RefSeq lists it as uncharacterized. The transcript has 3 exons. The record is from RefSeq and is a predicted model, not a curated record. NCBI's taxonomy places the organism in Eukaryota, Metazoa, Chordata, Mammalia, Chiroptera, Vespertilionidae.
AAUCGGGUUGUACUGGUCUGCUUUCUGGCCCUUCCCACCAGCCGGGAAGCCUGGAUCGCGGGCUGGGGGAAGCCGGAGCUGCUCCCACCUGGCUCCCACUGCCCCUAGCCACUAGGUACCUGCUCUGGGCCCUGGAUCCUUUAAAUCAGACAGCAAAACGCUGGAAGAUUGCAUCCUGGUGUGGGAACAGUCUUGCAGGGGAAAACAAAACCAAAAAAAUAGAUCCAAAUCACCGUAAAGCAAAUUACUUCUCUCCAUGUUCCCUUCUGAGUUGUACAGCAGAGAGUGACUGCCCCACCGAUCAUCCGUGCACCGCUCCUCCACCCUCCCUUCCCACAGCCCCUGGCAACCACUGAUCUCGAUACUGUCUGUAGAGCUUUGCCUUUU